GCCUGCUGAGAGGAAGGUUGCUGGCGCUCAGGGCUCAUCGCUUCCGGGUCACGAGGAAGCACUUCCGGUGAGGCGGCGCGGCGUUACGGGAGAGUAUUCUUCUCAAGUGUGAGCUGCUCUACUUCUGUCCAGUUCUUCUCAUCUCUGUCUACUGAAGACCUGCCACAUCCACAGAGGCCUUUGCUCCUACCUCAUACAAGAUCAAAUGACGCCCUUCCUUAAACGUCUCCCAGUUUCUCUCUCCCUACCGCAUGUCUCCAUAGCUACUCUGCCUCCGUUUGGAGCAGAGCUCUGGGAACAGGCAUUUGUCUAAUUUGGUUCUGGAGAACGCUAACUCUCGAGACACCUGGCAGUAGGGACUUGGGCCAUGGCCUCCGACCUGGACUUCUCACCUCCUGAGGUGCCUGAGCCCACCUUCUUGGAGAAUCUGCUGCGGUAUGGGCUCUUCCUGGGAGCCAUCUUCCAGCUCAUCUGUGUCCUGGCCAUUAUCAUACCCAUUCCCAAGUCCCAUGAGGCGGCGCACAGCCACACUGAGCAGCACAGCGGAGACAGCAAGCUUAGUGCCUCUCCCUUGACACUGUACAGAUUCCGUUACCUGGGCCUGAGGGAUAGCAGCAAUUUUCUGGCCUGGCGAGCUGCACUCUCGCCACCUCAUUAUUGAUGGGGUUGUGUCCACAAAAGAUGCCUCCAUGGACCCAGGAAACACCUGGCAGUGAAGGUGUCUCUUUUUUCCCUCACCUGUCUUUUUUUCCCCUCACUUGCUUCAGAUGAGGUGCGGCACCCCCAGACUUAAAGGAGGCAGAACAGUGUGAGCCUAGAAGUGCAGAGGUGGCGAAGAAGCCCAAGGCUGCCGCUCCUUCCACCAACAAGAGGCCAAAGAAGGAGACGAAGAAGAAGCGGUAGAAGCGGAGGCCGAGGGGCCCACGGCUUUGGCCUUGGGGACAGCCCUCCUGGGAUCCAACAUCCUGCUUCCUCUCACAGACUGUCUCUGUCCUUGGCUCGGGGUUUGAGGUCAUUAAAACUCCCUCUGACCACAGGGAUCCGAACAGUCUCUAGGCCCCAGCUGUGCAGACCACCACUUCCUCUUCCUUCACUGCCCCGGAGGGGUCCGAGGUCUUGUAAGGCUCACAGAGUCAAGCACUCACAGUCAUGCUUGGGCCCAGCCGUCUUCAGAUAGAGUCAUGCUGCAUCUAACCCUAGGAGCUGUUACCUAAGGCUCCAGGCACGCCCUCUCCCAUUGUCUAGGCCAUAUCUGUCACUCUUACGUGCACAGAACUUCACAUGUGUUCAGGUCAGGAUACAGUGUGACUCAGCCCACUUGCUGCAGCAGCCAGAUCCUGAAGAUGUUGGGGGUUGGAGGGACAGUCGAAGGCCUGGGCCCCAGUGAUGCCUGCACAGGAAGGUGCUGGCUGAAUGAGGCCAGAUUUCCUGGACACGGACUUUGCAAGCCUUUGAAAUAGGCAUUUCACUUUCAGACCAACCUCUUUUUAAGCCAUUCUAACAUUCAAAGUGCCUUUGACUUCGACCUGUCAUUCCCACAUCUCUCAUUCCCUGGCCAGUGAAGAAAAUUAUGUGGAGAAGUCAAAGCAAAUAAACUGUCUUGCAUGCUGA
Molecule: RNA transcript, 1611 nt
Organism: Meriones unguiculatus (Mongolian gerbil)
Lineage: Eukaryota; Metazoa; Chordata; Mammalia; Rodentia; Muridae
Gene: Manbal
Gene name: mannosidase beta like
Exons: 5
Source: RefSeq, a predicted model, not a curated record